RNAcentral lists this ribosomal RNA (579 nucleotides) under uncultured bacterium. RNAcentral describes it as "bacterial SSU rRNA". It matches the Rfam family "Bacterial small subunit ribosomal RNA", at positions 102 to 666 of the family's 1533-position model. The record is from RNAcentral.
ACGGGUGAGUAACACGUGGGUAACCUGCCCAUAAGACUGGGAUAACUCCGGGAAACCGGGGCUAAUACCGGAUAACAUUUUGAACCGCAUGGUUCGAAAUUGAAAGGCGGCUUCGGCUGUCACUUAUGGAUGGACCCGCGUCGCAUUAGCUAGUUGGUGAGGUAACGGCUCACCAAGGCAACGAUGCGUAGCCGACCUGAGAGGGUGAUCGGCCACACUGGGACUGAGACUCGGCCCAGACUCCUACGGGAGGCAGCAGUAGGGAAUCUUCCGCAAUGGACGAAAGUCUGACGGAGCAACGCCGCGUGAGUGAUGAAGGCUUUCGGGUCGUAAAACUCUGUUGUUAGGGAAGAACAAGUGCUAGUUGAAUAAGCUGGCACCUUGACGGUACCUAACCAGAAAGCCACGGCUAACUACGUGCCAGCAGCCGCGGUAAUACGUAGGUGGCAAGCGUUAUCCGGAAUUAUUGGGCGUAAAGCGCGCGCAGGUGGUUUCUUAAGUCUGAUGUGAAAGCCCACGGCUCAACCGUGGAGGGUCAUUGGAAACUGGGAGACUUGAGUGCAGAAGAGGAAAGUGGAA